Long non-coding RNA from Loxodonta africana (African savanna elephant), 7307 nucleotides. RefSeq lists it as uncharacterized. Lineage: Eukaryota; Metazoa; Chordata; Mammalia; Proboscidea; Elephantidae. The transcript has 2 exons. The record is from RefSeq and is a predicted model, not a curated record.
CAAGAGGUCAGCCUGCUGGCCAGUGCCCAGCCAGACCCCUCAAGUUAGCAUGGGUCUAGUGUCUGCUGGCAUGUCGUGAGGGUUCUUAGAAUGCUGAACAUCAGAGCAUUCAGGGUGGUUAGAGAUUAUUGUGACCACAAGAACGCACCUUGCAGACCUCCAACUACAGGAGGCCCCAGAUGCUGUGCUUUGAAAUCCAUCUCUGCAUUUGUGCUGAGGCCAUACCUAUCACGGGCUGCUCCCAGCCAACGACUGGCACAACAUGGAUAUAAGACGGACCUGUUCCUGGGAGACAGGGGCUCUUCUGACAGCUGACUUUGGCUUGAGGACUCCCUGAGGUCUUGAUGAACCUUCCUUACACAGCACAUGGUUUAGGAGGCUUCAACUUAACCCUCCUUCCCUCUCUCCUCGCUCAGGAUCAGACUUGCAUCUCAGUCUGAAGGCUCCCAGCAUACCCUGGCUUCCUCUCUGUUUUGUCUCAUAGUCAUCUAUGCUCAUAACAUCCUUGCACGAUCUAUCCCCUCUUGGUGUCUGCUUCUUGGAGGACUAACUCAGGAAUCAUGUGGUAACUGCUUCAUUUUAUGGCUGAGAAAACUGAAGGUCAGAGAGGCAAAGGGAUUUUUCCAAGGUCACACAGUGUCUUCUUCAUUUCCUAGAGUUGCUAAAACAGAAAUACCACAAGUAGGUCGCUUUAAAGAACAGAAAUUAAUUUUAUCACAGUUUUGGAAGCUAAAAGUUCGAAUCAGGUCUCAACCAUGUAUAUUUCUUCCUUAUUGGUAGCCUUGGUGAUCCUUACAUGUGCCCACCUCUGUGUCUAACCUGCUCCUUUUACAACUCAGAAGUGAUUAGCUUUAGGACACACCCUAUAUUUGUAUGGGCCCAUCAACCUAACAAAGGAAACCCUAUUUCCAAACAGGAUUAUAUCCACAGGUAUAAGGUUAAGUUUCCAAUACAUACUGGGGGCAAAAAACAAAAACAAACCAAACCCACUGUUGUCGAGUCGAUUCUGACUCAUAGUGACCCUACAUACUGGGGAGGGGGGGCAUAAUUCAACCCAUAACACACAGUAAACUAGAGUAAAGCAGGGAAUGGGUCUUCCACCUGGCAGGCCAUAUUUGUUUUCUUUACAUUGUGUGCACUUGUAAAGAGAGGGGAGAGAAGGGAUGAGACUCAUGGGAGAGUUUCUUCAGAAUAAGGCCCCUCACACUUGCCUCUAGACUGAGCACCAAGAGGAUAAAGACGGUGUCUGCCUUUGUUAUCCACUUGUCCCAGACAAUCCUGUCUCCAAAGCUUGGGCCCCUUCCCACAUGGCCUACCUGAUAUAAUAAACACAAUAGCACCAUUCAAAGAAAACCAGUUGCUGUUGAGUCAAUUCUGACUCAUGGAGACCCCACAUGUGUCAGAGCGGAACUGUGCUUCAUAGAGUUUCCAAUAGCUGAUUUUUUGGGAGGUAGAUCACUAGGCUUGUUUUCUGAGGCAACUCUGGGUGGACUGGAACUGCUGAUCUUUUAGGUAGCACCUGAGCAUCUUAAUAGUUUGUGCUACCCAGGGACUCCAUUCAAAUGUGAAGGGUUAUCAAUGCUAUUGAGAUCAAGGCAAAGGGAAGUGGAGUAGACAGCCACCAGCAAAUGAGUGUGUAGAGAGCAGACCAGAAGGUACUAGGAAGGGGCAAGAUUGUCCCAGAGAAACAGGAGCACCAGCAUUUUCCCAGGGCCUUUCCGUUUUGGGGCAUAUGCUGACCUGUCAGGUAAGAGGCUACCUACUAAUUUCUUCCACACCUGGCCAGGAGCUGGGGCUGCUGCCUGAUUUCCAUCAUGCUAAUUGCCACCAUCUCCGCAGUGACACCAAGCUAUGUUUCAGAUAAGGCACUUCCUUAAUAGUCUCCCAUUUCCCUGCUGACACCAGAAAAUAGGCCUGACUUGGCCAUGUAUUACCGCACUGAGCGAGGCAGAGCUGUUACACCCAGCCUCACAGCCCAAACCAUUAGUGAACCUAGAAUCAAUAGUGCUCAGGCAACUCUUGUUUCCCUGAAAGCAUUCAUUUGGCAUGUUUGCUAUUUGUCAGGCAGUUCCUUUCUCUAAUGUCCCACAGUUUGUGGCCCUAGCUCCUGAGUCUCUCCUCCUUCCACAAAGUGCUUAGAGGCACUUUGCAAGUUCUAGACAACAUCAGCUUUUUUCAGAACAAAAGAAGAGUGAUAAGACAGCAUAUUCAUCAGCAGGUUCUAAUUAACGACUGUUUUGGUUACAGUUCUUUGGUUGCAAGCAACAGGAAUCAACUGUGGUGAACUUAAGCAAAGUAGGACCUAAUGGGAAGUCUCUUCAGAACACAGCAGUGAAGCUAGAUCAGUCCAGCCAACCUUCCUAAGAUUCAAGUUCAAGGGAGAGAGCAUCAAUUUGGUCUAGUUUGGGUCACUUGCCUACUCUUUGGCCAAAGGAGGGCGGGGCACCUAGAUAAUCUGUGUCUACAAAGUUGGAGUAAUGAUUCCAGAAGAGGAGAAAAUGGAUGUGGAUCAGGCACAUGGCAGUUCACAAGAGAGACAAACAUCAGGGAGGUAGGGAGGCCCAAAGAAGGUGUGAAUGACCCAAACCCAUUGCUGUUGAGUCUAUUCCGACUCAUAGCAAUCCUAUAGGACAGAGCAGAACUGCCCCAUAGGUUUUCUAAGGAGCAGCUGGUUGUAUUUGAACUGCUGACGUUUUGGUUAGCAGCCAAGCUCUUAACCACUGUGCCACCAGGGCUCCAUACUAAUGACCCAGCAUGUGGUAAUUUACCCCCUCUGGCCUGUAGAAAAGUCCUUAGAUGGCGCAAGCACUGUUAACUUAAAGGUUGGCGGUUCAAACCCACCCAGUGGCACCAUGAAAGAAAGGCCUGGUGAUCUGCUUCUGUCAAAAUUACAGCCAAAAAAACCCUAUGGAGCAGUUCUACUCCAUAACACAUGGGGUUACCAGGAGUCAGAAUCAACUCGAUGCCAAUGAGUUGGGCCUUUAGAUCUACCAGAUCUGUUAAAGUGCUUGGCACUCAACACAUUUUCAGUAAACACUAGCUAAAAAAAAACAAACCCAUUGCUGUCUAGUUGAUUCCGACUCAUAGCAACCCUAUAGAAUAGAGUAGAACCGUCACGUAGGGUUUCCCAGGCUGUAAUCGUUACGGAAGCAGACUGCCACAUCUUUCUCCUUGGGAGAGGCUGGUGGGUUUGAACUGCUGACCUUUAGGUUAGCAGCUGAGUGCUUAACCACUAUGCCAGCAGGGCUCCUUCAAAUGACAGCUAGGACCUUUUUUUUCCCCUUGAGUUAUUGCUAUUGUAGCAUAAUUUCCAACACUGUUCUUGUUGUUAGCUGCUCUCAAGUCAGCCCCCAACUCAUGGAUGCCCCAUGAACAACAUGAUUGGAACAUUGUGAUCCACAGGGUUUUCACUGGCUGAUUUUUGGAAGUAGAUCAACAGACCUUUCUUCCUAGCCCAUCUUAGUCUGGAAGCUCCACUGAAACCUGUUCAGCAUCAUAACAACACUCAAGCCUCCACCAACAGGAAUUGAACCCCCGGAGCUUUCGCAUGGAAGGUGAUAAUUCUACUGCUGAACCACGCUAGGCAAAGUUAAAGUUCCUGACAGAAGACUGGAAACCUGACAUAAUUAUUGUUCUGCAAUACAUAAAGAAUCCUGCUAAGCACUGUGACUAACUCUUUCUUAAGAUUGCUGCUAAGUGUAACAGGUAAGGGGAACGAUUUGAGAUUUUUGAAGACUUGGGUGAGACAUGAAGAACUUGAAGCCUUGAAGAGGAUAUAGAAGAACAUUGUGAACCCUACUUCUCAACAGAGAUCUUUAAGCAGAAUGGAAUUUCAUCUGUGAGGGAUAACUUAACCCUAUCCAGCACUAUCCUUCAGAAUUUGUACUGUAAUUGCUUGUUUACUUCCCUGAAUCACCUUCUACACUGCCAGCUCCUUGAAGGAGGAGGGCAAAGACUGGAGUCUGUUUACUGCUGUAUCAUUGGGGCCCCGCACACGGUGUGGCACACAGUAUGUGCUCAGAAAAAGAUUUGUUGACGGAAUGAUUAAAUGAUGAGCAUCUGGAUUACACGAGCUUUCGAGGCCACUGGUUGGCUAAUGUGGAGCCCUGGAGGCACAAUGGUUAAAGAGCUUGGCUGCUAACUGGAAGGUCAGCAGUUCAAAUCCACCAGCCGCUCCUUGGAGACUCUAUGGGGCAGUUCUACUCUGUCCUAUAGGAUCACUAUGAGUUGGAAUCAACGCAAUGGCAACAGGUUUGGUUUUUUUGGGGGGUUUUGGUGGGCUAAUGGCAAAGGGUUACAGGUACUGCUCUACAUCCAUCUGUGGAAACAGAAUAAAGUUUUCUGGUGUCAUCUUUCAGGGCUAUGAAGUAGACUUCACCAGGUUUUCUUAUCUGAAGCCUUGUUAAAGUGGAGGGGAGAGACAGAAUGGAGGGGAGGCAGGAAAAUUCAUGAUUCAGAGGUGGGACUUGGAGGAGAGGAAAUGGAUGGCAGAGGGAGGGGGUUGACAGGAAAUUCCUGUGAGAACCGGGGAGCGGGACCAUUGCCAGGAACUUCAUUUAGUUCUGGCCUGGAAACUGCUGACCACAAGUCCCCUCCUGAUUCAAAUGCCCAUAAGCUGGAGUGAGGGAGGCUGACCCUAUGCUAUACUUUCUCUCCAAGGAGAAAAUGUCCAAUAGCAAUACAAGGCAUGCCACAGGCAGUUCUUAACUAUAGGCCAUGUAUAGGUUGAAGGAAUAAACACUACAGGAGUUCAUAUGAGUUAGAGACCAUUGUGGUUAGAAGUGGGCAGCGGUGGCUUUGUGGGGAAGAAGGGUGCUAUGGGCUGAACUGUGCUGCCCCAAAUAUGUGUUGAAGUUCUAACCCCUGUACCUAUAAAUAUGACCCUUUUUGGAAAUAGGAAUUUUCUUUUGUUAUGUUAAUGUACCAUGGCAGAAUGGCAUGGGUCCUACACCUAAUUGCUUCUAAGUGGUAUCUUAUAAAAAGAGCAGAAUAGCCACAGUGACACACUCACAGGGGAAAAACAGACAUCAUGUGAGGACCCACCUAUAACCAAAGAAGCACCAAGGAUUGUGGGCAGACACCAGAAUCUCGGAGAGAGGCCCACAGAAGGAAUCCAUCUAGCCGAGACCCUGAUUUGGACUUUUAGCCUUCAGAACUGUGGGAAAAUAAAUUCCUGUUCCUUAAAGCCACCCACUUGUGCUGUUUUGUUUUGUUUUUUAGCAGCAUCAGGGAACUAAGACAAAGGGGGAUUCAAAUUGGUCUUAUAUGAUGGGAGAGAUUUGUUUGGAUACAUGGUGAAAAAGAACAGGCAGAGGACAGAGCCUGAACAAAGCACAAAAGUAGAAAAGGACAGUUUGUCCUUCUAAGGCAGGUAGUUCCUAGCAAACUCAGGAAAGUGAAUAGUCAGAGAAAAGGUGAGAAGGGGAGGCUGUGGUCAAGGCAAGGAGAGUCCUUAAGGUAAAUUAAUAUUUUGGAUUCAUACAUAUAUUUCAUAAGUACUUCUUGGUGGCACAAUGGUUAAACACUUGGCUGCUAACAAAAAGACUGGUGGUUGGAACCCACUCAGUGGCUCCAUGGGAAAAAAGACCUGGCAAUCUUCUCCUGUAGAUUAAAAAAAAAAAAAUUUACAGCCCAGGAAACUCUAUGGGGCAGUUCUACUCUGCCAUAUAGGAUCACUAUGAGUCGGAAUUGGCUCAACACACAACAACAACAACCUACAUAUGAAUUAAUGAGUGAAUGAAUGAGUGUGAAAAUGAACAGAGGGUGAACAGGAAGGAAGGAGAUGGCUCGUCUACUGUUCAAAUAAUUCCGUCCAGCCCAAUGGUGACAAAAGGCUUUAAACAGUUAGCCUCCCAGGUGAGCUAUGCUCAGCUCGGUGCCACAGGGCUGGGAAGCUGCCUGAUAAGAGGUCUGGCUGGGAGGUGGCCAGGCUUAAAAACAAAGGUACUGGAGCUCCUGGGGCGAUGUUUGCAGCUGAGUGAAGGUCUCCAGAGAUCUCUUUCCUGUCAGCCAAUAGAGGGGCUCAGCCAAGUGGGUUAACGUGGUAAGCUAAGUAGAAUGGGCUAUUUCCCUAUGGUAAAAUUUUAGGGAUGCUGGGAAGGCUCCCUGCCUCCCAACUGCCCACUUUAUCCCUUGAUGGAACUGGAUAAUGCCUGAAAUUCUAUAACCAAAGUUUCAUUCUUAGCUAGAAACUUUGAUCAAUACACCAUUUAAAGCUGUUAUCGCUCAAUUACACCCUAUUAUAAAUGAAGGAAAACCCUGGUGGCAUAGUGGCUAAGAGCUACAGCUGCCAACCAAAAGGUCAGCAGUUUGACUCUACCAGGCGCUCCUUGGAAACCCUACGGGGCAGUUCUACCCUGUCCUAUAGAGUCACUAUGAGGUGGAAUCGACUUGAUGCCAAAGGGUCAGUUUGUUUUGCAAAUGAAGGAUCUCAACCACAUUUUGACAGGAAAGUUGGGAAAGGGAAGGAAAGAUGUAACCUGAGUAUCUGAGAUGCAAGAUUGUCAGAGACACUGAAAGUAGGGAAGAGAGUGGUGAGGAGGAAUCAUGACAAACUUUGCCAAGGGUGAUUUUGCCGAGUUUGAGCAACUGAUCCUCACACUAGCCAGACUGCCCAGUUAUUAGCAAAGAUGUUUCAUAAACUCAAUCUGAUUACAGCAUCAGCCAGAUGAUUUGCGUGACCACAUGAGGCAGCUAACACCGUAACCACUGGCCUCUAUAACGCGUACGGGAGCUUGGCUAAUCUGAACAUUAGCGGGUUGCGGCGGCUGGUGGACAGAUGCCUGCCACAAAAGCUCCUUACAUCAAGAGGUGAAGACUAUUCCUUUGGACCCAGGUCCCUGUGCUGAGAAGAUUGUCACUGGGGAAGGCUGAUGAUAAGGACCUUCCUCCAAAGCUGAGAAGAGAAAGCCUUUCCCUGAAGCCAGCGCCUUGAUUUUAGACUUGUAGCCUACUAGGCUGUGAGAGAAUAAAUUUCCUUUUGUUGAAGCCACCUACUUGUGGUAUUUCUGUUAGAGCAGCACUAUUAGUUCUCUCAAAGAACAGUUUUGUGCUUCUUUUGCUUCUGAGAAAGUGACCCAUGACUGUUAACAGGUAAACCCAGGAGAGGCAUCUUGCCCUUGCAGAGAAUACUUAAUAUAUUUUAAACAGAUUAACUGAAGAUCUCCAACAGGAAAGGUCCAUCCUGUGUUAUCUUGCUAAUCAUGUAUUCUGUAAUGGAAUCUUUGUUGUCACAUGUAAAUUUUUCUGUACCUUCUGUGUCCUCUAGACAAACUUUGUGUACUCCUUAAAAAAAAAAAAAAAAGAAA